GGGUUUGUACUGUCCUGACUGGGUCUUCCUUUCUGGUGAGCUGUCAUGUUGUUUACUCAGGGUGGCAGGGAACCAGGACUUUUACUUUGAAAAAAUUAGAGUGUUUAAAGCAGGCAUUCGCUUGAAUACAUUAGCAUGGAAUAAUAAAAUAGGACUUUGGUUCUAUUUUGUUGGUUUCUAGGACCGAAGUAAUGAUUAAUAGGGAUAGUUGGGGGCAUUAGUAUUUAAUUGUCAGAGGUGAAAUUCUUGGAUUUAUGAAAGACUAACUUCUGCGAAAGCAUUUGCCAAGGAUGUUUUCAUUAAUCAAGAACGAAAGUUAGGGGAUCGAAGACGAUCAGAUACCGUCGUAGUCUUAACCAUAAACUAUGCCGACUAGGGAUCAGACAAGAGAUUUAUUGACUUGUUUGGCACCUUAUGAGAAAUCAAAGUUUUUGGGUUCCGGGGGGAGUAUGGUCGCAAGGCUGAAACUUAAAGGAAUUGACGGAAGGGCACCACCAGGAGUGGAGCCUGCGGCUUAAUUUGACUCAACACGGGGAAACUCACCAGGUCCAGACAUAGUAAGGAUUGACAGAUUGAAGAUCUUUCUAGAUUCUAUGGGUGGUGGUGCAUGGCCGUUCUUAGUUGGUGGAGUGAUUUGUCUGGUUUAUUCCGUUAACGAACGAGACCUCGGCCUUUAACUAGUCCCUCUGUCCAUUACGGAUGGAGGUCACUUCUUAGAGGGACAACCGG
Molecule: ribosomal RNA, 729 nt
Filed under: uncultured eukaryote
Lineage: Eukaryota
Description: SSU rRNA
Rfam family: Eukaryotic small subunit ribosomal RNA
Source: RNAcentral